GGCUAGGACAAUGGCGGGCUAGUGAAUUGUGUCAGAUCCGGAAGGAAGCAAGCACUAAGCAAGUGCCGCCAUGUGUCUGAUUGAAU
RNAcentral lists this signal recognition particle RNA (86 nucleotides) under Enterococcus faecalis. RNAcentral's name for it is "signal recognition particle sRNA small type". It matches the Rfam family "Bacterial small signal recognition particle RNA". From Rfam's summary of the family: The signal recognition particle (SRP) is a universally conserved ribonucleoprotein involved in the co-translational targeting of proteins to membranes. Archaeal SRP consists of a 7S RNA and homologues of the eukaryotic SRP19 and SRP54 proteins. The record is from RNAcentral. Lineage: Bacteria; Bacillati; Bacillota; Bacilli; Lactobacillales; Enterococcaceae.